ACGGAAGGCAGCAGUGAGGAAUAUUGGUCAAUGGAGGCAACUCUGAACCAGCCAUCUCGCGUGAAGGAAUACGGCCCUAUGGGUCUUAAACUUCUUUUAUAGGGGGAUAAAGUGAGCCACGUGUGGCUUUUUGUAGGUACCCUAUGAAUAAGCAUCGGCUAACUCCGUGCCAGCAGCCGCGGUAAUACGGAGGAUGCGAGCGUUAUCCGGAUUUAUUGGGUUUAAAGGGUGCGCAGGCGGCACGUUAAGUCAGCGGUGAAAUGUCGGGGCUCAACCCGGGCACUGCCGUUGAAACUGGCGAGCUUGAGUACGGAUGAAGUCGGCGGAAUGUGAUGUGUAGCGGUGGAAUGCUUAGAUAUGUCACAGAACACCGAUUGCGAAGGCAGCUGACUAAUCCGCAACUGACGCUCAGGCACGAAAGCGUGGGGAUCGAACAGGAUUAGAUACCCUGGUA
RNAcentral lists this ribosomal RNA (454 nucleotides) under uncultured bacterium. RNAcentral's name for it is "partial 16S ribosomal RNA". It matches the Rfam family "Bacterial small subunit ribosomal RNA", at positions 341 to 792 of the family's 1533-position model. The record is from RNAcentral.